UACGGGAGGCAGCAGUGGGGAAUAUUGCACAAUGGGCGCAAGCCUGAUGCAGCCAUGCCGCGUGUAUGAAAAAGGCCUUCGGGUUGUAAAGUACUUUCAGUCGUGAGGAAGGUGUUAAGGUUAAUAACCUUAGCAAUUGACGUUAGCGACAGAAGAAGCACCGGCUAACUCCGUGCCAGCAGCCGCGGUAAUACGGAGGGUGCGAGCGUUAAUCGGAAUUACUGGGCGUAAAGGGCACGCAGGCGGUUAAUUAAGUUGGAUGUGAAAUCCCCGGGCUUAACCUGGGAAUGGCAUUCAAGACUGGUUAGCUAGAGUCUUGUAGAGGGGGUUAGAAUUCCAUGUGUAGCGGUGAAAUGCGUAGAGAUGUGGAGGAAUACCGGUGGCGAAGGCGGCCCCUGGACAAAGGACUGACGCUCAUGUGCGAAAGCGUGGGGAGCAAACAGGGAUUAGAU
This 452-nucleotide ribosomal RNA is filed under the name uncultured bacterium. Its description in RNAcentral is "bacterial SSU rRNA". It matches the Rfam family "Bacterial small subunit ribosomal RNA", at positions 340 to 783 of the family's 1533-position model. The record is from RNAcentral.